Molecule: non-coding RNA, 1001 nt
Organism: Pogona vitticeps (central bearded dragon)
Lineage: Eukaryota; Metazoa; Chordata; Lepidosauria; Squamata; Agamidae
Source: RefSeq, a predicted model, not a curated record
GUGCCCCCUGAUUAGACCCCUCUUGUGGCAUGGUGGCUCCAUGUGAUGGCCAGGGAAGGUGCUGGGGCAUGCUGGGAACCUAACACAGGUCAGGGAAGGUCACAUGAGGUGAUCUCCUCCAUUGGUGGGGAGGGAGGAAACUGCACCAGUUUUCCCUGUAUAUGUGUGUGAAUCAAUUGUUUGUAGUUAUGUUUUGGAGGUGUAAGAGUUGCACACAGAUUGUGAACUAAAUAGGGGUCUUGUGCUCCUAAUCCAAGCAUUGUUGAAGGGAGAAGUGUGUAACAGUGACAUAAAAAAGGGACGGAAACUUAGUCCUGUCAUGGAAAACUUUUAUGCUCUGUAUGACUGGAAACUGCAGAACCAUAGGAUGUGGAUUCCACACUUUAUUUAAGUGCAUUUUACAGAGUAUCAACACAGUAAAAUCAUUUUUAGAUGUUUUCUUUUUAUGGCUCUUCUUUGGGAAACAAAGCAAUAACGACUGCAAACAAUGGUACUGUUUAAUACUGGAUGUACAAAAUGGUUUUAAAAAACCACACCACAACCCUGCAAUAUUUUCUUGUUUACUGUAAAGUAUCUUAAAAUAUGACAACAGCAUACCUGAGAACCAGAUAUUUGUAUUCAGAGAGCAGUAGCAGCAAUUCCAUAUUAGGUCUACAAAUAUGAUGGGAUAAAGCACAUAAUAUACUCAUCUUAAAAUUGCUUGCAGAAAGUAACUAUUACUCAUUAACAAAUAGCAGUAGUAGUUGCAUGUAGUUUUCCUUUGUACUAAUCAGAAACAUGUACCUAAAGAGCUGCCUGGAUAUUUUGUCAGGAACAGUUGAAGUCAGGGCUAAACAGCUGUUGCAAAUAUAUAAUUGAUGCAACCUGAACUCUUUUAAUCUAUUCACUCUUAGUGGUGCUAUAUUUUAAAGCUAUACGUAACAAUGAAGUAAACGGUUAGAGCACCUUUGAUGAGUUUAAUGUAGAAAAAAACAACAAAACUGGUUUUCGCCAGAAAAAAA